UACGUAGGGUGCGAGCGUUAAUCGGAAUUACUGGGCGUAAAGCGUGCGUAGGCGGUUCUCCAAGUCCGUUGUGAAAGCCCCGGGCUCAACCUGGGAAUGGCAGUGGAAACUAGGGAACUUGAAUCUGGCAGAGGGGGGUGGAAUUCCACGUGUAGCAGUGAAAUGCGUAGAGAUGUGGAGGAACACCGAUGGCGAAGGCAGCCCCCUGGGCUGAGAUUGACGCUCAGGCACGAAAGCGUGGGGAGCAAACAG
Molecule: ribosomal RNA, 252 nt
Filed under: uncultured bacterium
Lineage: Bacteria
Description: partial 16S ribosomal RNA
Rfam family: Bacterial small subunit ribosomal RNA
Source: RNAcentral